GGCUACAUAUCAUAAGUUCUUCUAUUUCUUUCCUUCUUUUCUCUUUAUCUUUCUGUUAACCUUUCCUUCUUUUUUACCCACCCCUUGUACCUUACCCCUUGGGGGAGGAGCGGAAGAGACCUGAAAGUGCGUAUUCCUGCGGGGAGGUCAAGAAUUUACAGCGGCACUUCUGAUUCACAACACAAAACAACUAAGUAAUUGGUGUGGGUCUCGAUGCAACAGAAUGGGUGAGUACAAUGAUAACCCAUAUCCCAAGAUAUGCCUG
Non-coding RNA from Pelobates cultripes (western spadefoot toad), 265 nucleotides. Lineage: Eukaryota; Metazoa; Chordata; Amphibia; Anura; Pelobatidae. The record is from the annotation of a GenBank genome assembly.